UGAGGAAUUUUCCACAAUGGGCGAAAGCCUGAUGGAGCAAUGCCGCGUGGAGGAAGAAGGUCUAUUGAUUGUAAACUCCUUUUCUUAGAGAAGAAGAUCUGACGGUAUCUAAGGAAUAAGCUCCGGCUAACUCUGUGCCAGCAGCCGCGGUAAUACAGAGGGAGCAAGCGUUAUCCGGAAUGAUUGGGCGUAAAGCGUCUGUAGGUGGUCCGAAAAGUCUAAUGUCAAAUCCAUUGGCUCAACCAAAGGCAGGCAUUGGAGUACUAUUGGACUAGAGUGCGGAAGAGGUAGAGGGAAUCCCUAGCGUAACAGUGAAAUGUGUAGAUUUUAGGGAGAACACCAGCGGCGAAGGCGCUCUACUGGGCCGAGACUGACACUGAGAGACGAAAGCUACGGGAGCGAAAAGGAUUAGAUACCCUUGUAGUCGUAGCUGUAAACGACGGAAACUAAGUGGGGGCUAACCCCUGCUGUAGCUAACGCGUUAAG
RNAcentral lists this ribosomal RNA (486 nucleotides) under uncultured cyanobacterium. RNAcentral's name for it is "bacterial SSU rRNA". It matches the Rfam family "Bacterial small subunit ribosomal RNA", at positions 355 to 864 of the family's 1533-position model. Lineage: Bacteria; Bacillati; Cyanobacteriota. The record is from RNAcentral.